UACGUAGGGUGCAAGCGUUGGCCGGAAUUAUUGGGCGUAAAGAGCUCGUAGGCGGUCUGUUGCGUCGGCUGUGAAAACCCGGGGCUCAACUCCGGGCCUGCAGCCGAUACGGGCAGACUAGAGUUCGGCAGGGGAGACUGGAAUUCUCGGUGUAGCGGUGAAAUGCGUAGAUAUCGAGAGGAACACCUGCGGCGAAGGCGGGUUGCUGGGCUGACACUGACGCUGAUGCGCGAAAGCUAGGGGAGCGAACGGG
This 253-nucleotide ribosomal RNA is filed under the name uncultured bacterium. RNAcentral describes it as "partial 16S ribosomal RNA". It matches the Rfam family "Bacterial small subunit ribosomal RNA", at positions 524 to 776 of the family's 1533-position model. The record is from RNAcentral.